GACGAACGCUGGCGGCGUGGAUUAGGCAUGCAAGUCGAACGGUAUCAUCCUUUCGGGGGUGAGAGAGUGGCGAACUGGUGAGUAACACGUAGGUUAUCUACCCUCAAGACGGGGACAACCCAGGGAAACUUGGGCUAAUACCGGAUGUGAGCAACUUUUAGUUGUUUGAAAGGUGGCGUAAGCUGUCGCUUGGGGAUGAGCCUGCGUCCUAUUAGUUAGUUGGUGAGGUAACGGCUCACCUAGGCAAUGAUAGGUAGGCGGCCUUAACGGGUGGUCGCCCACACUGGGAUUGAGAUACGGCCCAGACUCCUACGGGAGGCAGCAGUGAGGAAUAUUGGUCAAUGGGCGGCAGCCUGAACCAGCCAUCCCGCGUGAAGGAAGAAUGCGCUAUGCGUUGUAAACUUCUUUUCCAGGAGAAUAAAAUGCCAUACGUGUAUGGUACUGAAGGUAUCCUGGGAAUAAGCAUCGGCUAACUCCGUG
RNAcentral lists this ribosomal RNA (480 nucleotides) under uncultured bacterium. RNAcentral's name for it is "bacterial SSU rRNA". It matches the Rfam family "Bacterial small subunit ribosomal RNA", at positions 28 to 507 of the family's 1533-position model. The record is from RNAcentral.